Molecule: unclassified non-coding RNA, 86 nt
Filed under: Epilithonimonas mollis
Lineage: Bacteria; Pseudomonadati; Bacteroidota; Flavobacteriia; Flavobacteriales; Weeksellaceae
Description: Chryseobacterium molle Flavo-1 RNA
Source: RNAcentral
CCUUAGCCCCGAUUGCAACGGUUACCCCGCAGCAGGCAAUGGAAAAGCUUUGGCGCGAGGAGUAUGAGUGGAAAGCGGGAAACAGC